CCCCGGGCCGUCAGACACCUGCCCUUCCCUCCCCAGUGGUGCCGUGUCCAGACAGGAUCACACUCAAACGGAGCACAAUGAUCGGUAGGAAGAAGAGAUCCCUGAGAGGCACAUUAUAAGGAGUGGACUCAGAGGUGGUACAGUUACCAGCUUUUGCAAAAGUCACAGAAGCAACCCCAGAAGAUGACGUGGCAGCCACUCUUCGAGCACACAGGCUUGUGUGGUUGUCAUGGGGAAGGCUUUUCAGCUGAAGUCACAACACUGCAGCUCAGCCUGCCACCACUGAGAAAAUGCUUUUCAUCUAUGUGCAUGGAUAAUUCGCCUAAGUGACAGAUUUUUCCUUGGAGAGGCACUGAACUGAGCUGGUUUACACAGGCAAUUACAGCUCAUUCCACACACACAAAAAAAAAACUGGGAAGGAAAGGAGUGGGGUGAUGGUAGCUAGACAAUGCCAAGGUGUCUGCUAGCCUGCUGAGUGGGACGUCUCCUCCAGGUCUUUCUAACUUUGUAAGAACAUCACUUGUGGACAGAAAGAAAACAAGGCUUCAUCUUUACCACCUGAUAGUUCUUUAAAACACACACACACACACACACACACACACACACACACACCCCUUGGCAAAUGAGAAAUAAAAAACCAACCCAAACCAAUAAAUGGUCAAGUCUACUCUAGGAAGUAACUUAUUAUAUAUCCCAACUCAACUAUCUUUACAUAGCCUUAUAGGCAAAGCAAGAUGUGAAAUACAGUUUGAAUAUGUUUACUGAUUAGGCUUCCCUAUCUCAUUCAAUAACACAAGUCAGAAAAGACAAGCCAAAGUGAGGGGUAAAAAGUCAGGCACACAGCACGAUGAACUAGGUUCCGCGCAUAAAGUAUUUCGAGAGAGAAUCUCAUCAGAAGACAGACAGCUCUUGGGGAAGUGAUAUGGGAACAUGUCUGAAGAGAACACCCCAGAAUAAAUGAAGUACUUAUUGUUGAAAAAUGAGCUCAGAUCUCAACCAAUCCCAAACUUCAGAAUUUACUGCACCGUUCAGGACUUUCCUUCCACGUUUCUUGUCUCCUGUUUCAUUGCACAACGAGGGAUUCUCCAUACUUUCUAUGAAAUACAACACGGCGAUUUUUGCAGUAAUAAACUCCACACAUGCAUGACAAAUCGAAGCAUGCAAAAUGUUUAACAUCCCAGUUCACAGAUACUUUAGGGACAAAAUCCGAUUAUGAAUUAUAUGCCACAAUAAAUAGGGCUCAAUGUUUCAUAAAGCAAUUUAUGGUUCAUAAAAAUGACAAAAUGUACCUGUCAGACAGAGCGUGGAGGGCCGU
Molecule: long non-coding RNA, 1315 nt
Organism: Dama dama (fallow deer)
Lineage: Eukaryota; Metazoa; Chordata; Mammalia; Artiodactyla; Cervidae
Exons: 3
Source: RefSeq, a predicted model, not a curated record